This 256-nucleotide ribosomal RNA is filed under the name uncultured bacterium. RNAcentral describes it as "partial 16S ribosomal RNA". It matches the Rfam family "Bacterial small subunit ribosomal RNA", at positions 524 to 776 of the family's 1533-position model. The record is from RNAcentral.
UACAGAGGUCCCAAGCGUUGUUCGGAUUCAUUGGGCGUAAAGGGUGCGUAGGUGGCGCCGUAAGUCAGGUGUGAAAUUUCGGAGCUUAACUCCGAAACUGCAUUUGAUACUGCGGUGCUUGAGGACUGGAGAGGAGACUGGAAUUCCCGGUGUAGCAGUGAAAUGCGAUAGAGAUCGAUAAGGAAGACCAGUGGCGAAGGCGGGUCUCGUGGACAGUUCCUGACACUGAGGCACGAAGGCCAGGGGAGCAAACGGG